This 1408-nucleotide ribosomal RNA is filed under the name Lactiplantibacillus plantarum. Its description in RNAcentral is "bacterial SSU rRNA". It matches the Rfam family "Bacterial small subunit ribosomal RNA", at positions 59 to 1434 of the family's 1533-position model. The record is from RNAcentral. Lineage: Bacteria; Bacillati; Bacillota; Bacilli; Lactobacillales; Lactobacillaceae.
CAGUCGAACGACUCUGGUAUUGAUUGGUGCUUGCAUCAUGAUUUACAUUUGAGUGAGUGGCGAACUGGUGAGUAACACGUGGGAAACCUGCCCAGAAGCGGGGGAUAACACCUGGAAACAGAUGCUAAUACCGCAUAACAACUUGGACCGCAUGGUCCGAGUUUGAAAGAUGGCUUCGGCUAUCACUUUUGGAUGGUCCCGCGGCGUAUUAGCUAGAUGGUGGGGUAACGGCUCACCAUGGCAAUGAUACGUAGCCGACCUGAGAGGGUAAUCGGCCACAUUGGGACUGAGACACGGCCCAAACUCCUACGGGAGGCAGCAGUAGGGAAUCUUCCACAAUGGACGAAAGUCUGAUGGAGCAACGCCGCGUGAGUGAAGAAGGGUUUCGGCUCGUAAAACUCUGUUGUUAAAGAAGAACAUAUCUGAGAGUAACUGUUCAGGUAUUGACGGUAUUUAACCAGAAAGCCACGGCUAACUACGUGCCAGCAGCCGCGGUAAUACGUAGGUGGCAAGCGUUGUCCGGAUUUAUUGGGCGUAAAGCGAGCGCAGGCGGUUUUUUAAGUCUGAUGUGAAAGCCUUCGGCUCAACCGAAGAAGUGCAUCGGAAACUGGGAAACUUGAGUGCAGAAGAGGACAGUGGAACUCCAUGUGUAGCGGUGAAAUGCGUAGAUAUAUGGAAGAACACCAGUGGCGAAGGCGGCUGUCUGGUCUGUAACUGACGCUGAGGCUCGAAAGUAUGGGUAGCAAACAGGAUUAGAUACCCUGGUAGUCCAUACCGUAAACGAUGAAUGCUAAGUGUUGGAGGGUUUCCGCCCUUCAGUGCUGCAGCUAACGCAUUAAGCAUUCCGCCUGGGGAGUACGGCCGCAAGGCUGAAACUCAAAGGAAUUGACGGGGGCCCGCACAAGCGGUGGAGCAUGUGGUUUAAUUCGAAGCUACGCGAAGAACCUUACCAGGUCUUGACAUACUAUGCAAAUCUAAGAGAUUAGACGUUCCCUUCGGGGACAUGGAUACAGGUGGUGCAUGGUUGUCGUCAGCUCGUGUCGUGAGAUGUUGGGUUAAGUCCCGCAACGAGCGCAACCCUUAUUAUCAGUUGCCAGCAUUAAGUUGGGCACUCUGGUGAGACUGCCGGUGACAAACCGGAGGAAGGUGGGGAUGACGUCAAAUCAUCAUGCCCCUUAUGACCUGGGCUACACACGUGCUACAAUGGAUGGUACAACGAGUUGCGAACUCGCGAGAGUAAGCUAAUCUCUUAAAGCCAUUCUCAGUUCGGAUUGUAGGCUGCAACUCGCCUACAUGAAGUCGGAAUCGCUAGUAAUCGCGGAUCAGCAUGCCGCGGUGAAUACGUUCCCGGGCCUUGUACACACCGCCCGUCACACCAUGAGAGUUUGUAACACCCAAAGUCGGUGGG